This 78-nucleotide microRNA precursor is filed under the name Schistosoma haematobium. RNAcentral describes it as "mir-3492 microRNA precursor family". It matches the Rfam family "mir-3492 microRNA precursor family". Lineage: Eukaryota; Metazoa; Platyhelminthes; Trematoda; Strigeidida; Schistosomatidae. The record is from Rfam by way of RNAcentral.
AGCUUUCCGAAUCCGUGCUGAGAUUUCGUCAGACACCAAUCAAUUAGAGCUGUUCAGACUUUUAAUAUAAGUGAAGUU